GGAAUUUAUCAAUGGUUGGUUCAGUACAGUAUCUGCUGCUAUGUUAUUUGCAGCAAGAGAAGAUAUAUGUUCAUGCCAUUUUCUUAACUGUGUCACCCGUUUCAGCUAGUGUACAAACAAACAAAUUAUUGGCAUGCAUGAGUAGUGCACGGACGCAUGUUAGUGUAUCUUAACAGAGAUGGACAAAGUCGUUUUGCGUAAUUAUGCCUGAACAUGCAUGGUAAUAACAAAAUCCUCACCGAUUAUAGAGAGAGCAAGUAGAUACUCUCAUCACUGAGAAAAAGCUUGUUUAGUUGAGAGUGUUCCAUGGGAACCCUCAGUCAGUGUAGCAACACAAACAUGUACAUAAUCAAUUUCUCUGCACCAGCUGAGCUAGUGUCUUACUGACUUCCAAGUCAUAAACAAUGUCAAUAAUGUUGAUAAGUGCCAGCUGCAAAUAAUCUGCAAACACCACAACAGGCUUUCCCUUGUAGCAAUGUCCUUUUAUAUCCAUAUAAUCCUUACCUAAUCAAAUUGUCGUAUCCCCAUAUGCUAGAGGACGAGUUUAGUCAGGCCAGCAACAAUGCGGAGCUACAUAAAUUAAGUAACCUGAUCUGAACUGUGAGCACAUGAUGAUUGUGUGGGUGCAAAUAAAUGGAAGUCGAAAUGCUUUUGGUUGUGACUUACUAUUCCUUAGCCUAUAUGCAUGUCUUAGUUAAACUUGAAAAUCAUUGUUUUCUCCCAUGAUGUUAUGUGAUUCAGUAUUAAAUUAGUAGACUCGAAUAUUUCUUAUUUUGAUCAGUCUUGUGGAAAAUAUGACCUUCAUUGAAUACUCUACUCUUUAUAUGUCGCUCAAGGGUUCCCCGUCGUACCUUUUGGUCUUGUUUUUGUUCAAUCUGCUUUUAUAUGUUAGUCUAGUUAUUAGAUUGAUUUUAGAAUGUUCAUCCAACUUUUGUUGAUCUAAGAAGCAUCUUGCAUGCUAUAGAAGUCAUAUUAGCUAAACUUGGCUUGUAGUUGCCUCUAUGAAAGUGGUUGUAUUUUGAUUUUUAUCUAUUGGUUUGCUGCAGUGGAAUGCUCAUCACCUCAUAGGGAAGAUUUGAACCAAGUGAAUGCAAGGAUUUUUUUGGCAAUGUCUAGCUCAAUCUCACCUUCGAGAAAAUGUAAUAUUUUUCCUCCGGAGUUAGUCUACACUAUCCAGGUUGUAGGCUACUACUGAGAUCCCAUCAAGGUAACACUCUUCCCCCACAUAUUAAUCUGCAAGAAAAGUAUAAACAAGAUUCAAGUGAGCGGUCUUCAUGGGGUUGCUUGUUCGUAUGAUUUGUUCAUGUGCUUCAUUUUGUAAUUCCAGUCAAGUAAAGGCUAAAGAAACAUGCUACCCUCAAACUGAAGUUUUGCAACCAUGUUAAUAUUUAAUGCAAAUUGCCAAGACUCUUCUGGGAGGAUUAUGUUUAUCUCUGUAACUAGUUGUUAGCAUUUUCCUAUUCAACAAUAAAGGUCGACAUCACUACAGGAAAUGGUUCUGAGUGUUACUCCUUCGAUUCAAACUCAUGAAUUAAGUUAAAGUCUACAUAUGAGGUUGUGUUUCAGCCAUGCAUACUUUGUGUGCAUGUGUUGUUUGUGUUGAGUUUGGUUUGGUGGUAUAUGAGCUGUGUUGUAUUGUGGUGCUCAUGUCGGUGCUGUUUAUUUUACUGUGUUAAAGAUAUAUGAUUCACAUCUCUUCAUGUUGGAAGUUAUUAAUGUGAGUUUUUUUUGCACAAAGUGUUGAGCUAACACAAGAAUAAUCUUGCAAUUCCUGAAAUUUCUAUGGGAACAUGUCUUAGUCUUGUGUUAAUUUGAGGUUGUGUUUCGUCCGAUCUUUGUAGAACUAUGUUGUUGUGCGCCUGUGCACUUGUUGAGUCUUUUUGCUAUGCACUUGCACUUGUAGCAUUAUUUUGCUGUGCACUUGUGCACUUGUUGGACCUUGGACCUUGCUGUGUAGAGCAGUUAAUGGAUGAUGUAUUGUAUUUCAUGUGAUGUGUUACUGAAAUGAAAUAUACAAUUUAUCUGCAAUAUUGUAUUCUGUUGUAAUUG
RNAcentral lists this long non-coding RNA (2049 nucleotides) under Triticum aestivum (bread wheat). RNAcentral's name for it is "long non-coding RNA (TAES_LNC015474)". The record is from RNAcentral. Lineage: Eukaryota; Viridiplantae; Streptophyta; Magnoliopsida; Poales; Poaceae.